UGGGUCCUUUAGCACUGCACCACCUGGGAGACCUCAUAAUGGUGAGGUAGCAGCCUCUGAAAUUUCCUCUGUCAACCAGGGUAAUAAGCCCCAACUGACCCCUGAUGGAAUUACAGGGAUAACUGCCUUCAUCAGAAAUUUAAGGAAGAAUAAAGUGAUCUUCAUGGAAAGCUUCAUGAUAAAAAUGAUUUGAAUCAGGCCUUGAAGGAUAAGUAUAACUGGGAUGAAGAAAGAAAAGUAAAGGGCAUAUACAAGUUUCAAAAUCAUGAUUCACGGAAGAAUGUUUAUUUCUUCAGUCUCUGAAUGGAACAAAUACCUUCACCUUUAAAAAAAAAUCAAUAAUCAGCAUAAGAAGAAAACUACAACAGUCAUAACAGUUAACAUUUAAUAAAUUCUGGGCUAAGAGCUAAA
This is a non-coding RNA of Odocoileus virginianus texanus, 411 nucleotides long. NCBI's taxonomy places the organism in Eukaryota, Metazoa, Chordata, Mammalia, Artiodactyla, Cervidae. The record is from RefSeq and is a predicted model, not a curated record.